UACAGAGGUCUCAAGCGUUGUUCGGAUUCAUUGGGCGUAAAGGGUGCGUAGGUGGCGUCGUAAGUCGGGUGUGAAAUUUCGGAGCUUAACUCCGAAACUGCAUUCGAUACUGCGGUGCUUGAGGACUGGAGAGGAGACUGGAAUUUACGGUGUAGCAGUGAAAUGCGUAGAGAUCGUAAGGAAGACCAGUGGCGAAGGCGGUCUCUGGACAGUUCCUGACACUGAGGCACGAAGGCCAGGGGAGCAAACAGG
Molecule: ribosomal RNA, 252 nt
Filed under: uncultured bacterium
Lineage: Bacteria
Description: partial 16S ribosomal RNA
Rfam family: Bacterial small subunit ribosomal RNA
Source: RNAcentral